RNAcentral lists this ribosomal RNA (500 nucleotides) under uncultured bacterium. RNAcentral's name for it is "partial 16S ribosomal RNA". It matches the Rfam family "Bacterial small subunit ribosomal RNA", at positions 30 to 523 of the family's 1533-position model. The record is from RNAcentral.
AUUGAACGCUGGCGGCAUGCCUUACACAUGCAAGUCGAACGGCAGCACGGACUUCGGUCUGGUGGCGAGUGGCGAACGGGUGAGUAAUAUAUCGGAACAUACCUUGUAGUGGGGGAUAACUAUCCGAAAGGAUAGCUAAUACCGCAUACGCUCUAAGGAGGAAAGUGGGGGAUCGCAAGACCUCAUGCUAUAAGAGUGGCCGAUAUCUGAUUAGCUAGUUGGUGAGGUAAAGGCUCACCAAGGCGACGAUCAGUAGCUGGUCUGAGAGGACGACCAGCCACACUGGAACUGAGACACGGUCCAGACUCCUACGGGAGGCAGCAGUGGGGAAUUUUGGACAAUGGGGGCAACCCUGAUUCAGCAAUGCCGCGUGAGUGAAGAAGGCCUUCGGGUUGUAAAGCUCUUUUGUCAGGGAGGAAACGGUUGUGGCUAAUAUCCAUGGCUAAUGACGGUACCUGAAGAAUAAGCACCGGCUAACUACGUGCCAGCCGCCGCAGUAA